GUGAGGAAUAUUGGUCAAUGGGCGAGAGCCUGAACCAGCCAAGUCGCGUGAAGGAAGAAGGAUCUAUGGUUCGUAAACUUCUUUUGCAGGGGAAUAAAGUGCAGGACGUGUCCUGUUUUGUAUGUACCCUGAGAAUAAGGAUCGGCUAACUCCGUGCAAGCAGCCGCGGUAAUACGGAGGAUCCGUGCGUUAUCCGGAUUUAUUGGGUUUAAAGGGUGCGUAGGUGGUUUGAUAAGUCAGCGGUGAAAGUUUGCAGCUUAACUGUAAAAAUGCGGUGGAAACUGUCGGACUUGAGUGUAAAUGAGGUAGGCGGAAUGCGUGGUGUAGCAGUGAAAUGCAUAGAUAUCACGCAGAACUCCGAUUGCGAAGGCAGCUUACUAAGCUACAACUGACACUGAAGCACGAAAGAGUAGGGAUCAAACAGGAUUAAAAACCCCAGUAGUCC
RNAcentral lists this ribosomal RNA (445 nucleotides) under uncultured bacterium. RNAcentral's name for it is "partial 16S ribosomal RNA". It matches the Rfam family "Bacterial small subunit ribosomal RNA", at positions 354 to 796 of the family's 1533-position model. The record is from RNAcentral.